CUAAUACCGCAUGAGAUCUACGGAUGAAAGCAGGGGACCUUCGGGCCUUGUGCUACUAGAGCGGCUGAUGGCAGAUUAGGUAGUUGGUGGGGUAAAGGCUUACCAAGCCUGCGAUCUGUAGCUGGUCUGAGAGGACGACCAGCCACACUGGGACUGAGACACGGCCCAGACUCCUACGGGAGGCAGCAGUGGGGAAUUUUGGACAAUGGGCGAAAGCCUGAUCCAGCAAUGCCGCGUGCAGGAUGAAGGCCCUCGGGUUGUAAACUGCUUUUGUACGGAACGAAAAGCCUGGGGCUAAUAUCCCCGGGUCAUGACGGUACCGUAAGAAUAAGCACCGGCUAACUACGUGCCAGCAGCCGCGGUAAUACGUAGGGUGCAAGCGUUAAUCGGAAUUACUGGGCGU
RNAcentral lists this ribosomal RNA (403 nucleotides) under Comamonas testosteroni. Its description in RNAcentral is "bacterial SSU rRNA". It matches the Rfam family "Bacterial small subunit ribosomal RNA", at positions 163 to 561 of the family's 1533-position model. The record is from RNAcentral. Lineage: Bacteria; Pseudomonadati; Pseudomonadota; Betaproteobacteria; Burkholderiales; Comamonadaceae.